Cannabis sativa is the source of this 596-nucleotide long non-coding RNA. RefSeq lists it as uncharacterized. The transcript has 2 exons. The record is from RefSeq and is a predicted model, not a curated record. NCBI's taxonomy places the organism in Eukaryota, Viridiplantae, Streptophyta, Magnoliopsida, Rosales, Cannabaceae.
UCUAUAUAUAUAUGUAUAAUUUAGGAAACUGGAAAGGGGUUAAUGUAAUCAUUUCAUUAUUCACUUUGAGAGAGUUCUUGCUCAUGCGCCGAGAAAAGACCUAAGAACUCAUUAUUUUUUAUCCUAAUUAGCCCACACUGAUCCUUGUGUAUGGUGGAAGAUAAGGAAGAUCAAGGUGUAAAUUUAUCAUCACCAUUAUAGGAUACAACUUACGAAAAAGAUUCAAGGAUACCCUUAUAUGCUUCAAGAGAGAUUGUUCCCUUGUAGCCUUGUUAUCACAGUGCAAUUUUUUCACGCUCAAUACGGAGCUCCUUUAAGAUAGACAACAACCAUAUCACUUCACUCAGCAUUAGCUAUUGCCCUAUACUCAGCUUCAACUUAUGAUCUUGAUAAGCUUAUUUUUAUUUAUUUUUUUUUAAUUUUUGGCCUACUUAAUUUUCCCAAUGCAUCAUGUCGUCAUAAUAGUGAUCUUUCUUUGACUUAAUAUAACAACAAGUUUUGGGCACUUUUUUCAGUUAAAAAACACACUGGGAAAAAUCUCACUCUUGUUGUGAAACAAUAUAACAAAUACUAAUAUUAAGUGGACUUUUAUACAA